CCUUCCAUGAAGCCGGAAUUGCUAGUAAUGGCAGGUCAGCAUACUGCCGUGAAUACGUUCCCGGGCCCUUGUACACACCGCCCGUCACACCAUGAGAGUUGGAGAUACCCGAAGCCUGUGAGCUAACAAACGAGGCAGCAGUCGAAGGUAGAAUCAAUGAUUGGGGUGAAGUCGUAACAAGGUAUC
This 186-nucleotide ribosomal RNA is filed under the name uncultured bacterium. RNAcentral's name for it is "partial 16S ribosomal RNA". It matches the Rfam family "Bacterial small subunit ribosomal RNA", at positions 1314 to 1500 of the family's 1533-position model. The record is from RNAcentral.